GACGAACGCUGGCGGCGUGCCUAAUACAUGCAAGUAGAACGCUGAAGAGAGGAGCUUGCUCUUCUUGGAUGAGUUGCGAACGGGUGAGUAACGCGUAGGUAACCUGCCUGGUAGCGGGGGAUAACUAUUGGAAACGAUAGCUAAUACCGCAUAAAAUUGAUUAUUGCAUGAUAAUUAAUUGAAAGAUGCAACUGCAUCACUACCAGAUGGACCUGCGUUGUAUUAGCUAGUUGGUGAGGUAACGGCUCACCAAGGCGACGAUACAUAGCCGACCUGAGAGGGUGAUCGGCCACACUGGGACUGAGACACGGCCCAGACUCCUACGGGAGGCAGCAGGAGGGAAUCUUCGGCAAUGGGGGGAACCCUGACCGAGCAACGCCGCGUGAGUGAAGAAGGGUUUCGGAUCGUAAAGCUCUGUUGUAAGAGAAGAACGGGUGUGAGAGUGGAAAGUUCACACUGUGACGGUACCUUACCAGAAAGGGACGGCUAACUACGUG
RNAcentral lists this ribosomal RNA (497 nucleotides) under uncultured bacterium. RNAcentral describes it as "partial 16S ribosomal RNA". It matches the Rfam family "Bacterial small subunit ribosomal RNA", at positions 28 to 507 of the family's 1533-position model. The record is from RNAcentral.